Molecule: ribosomal RNA, 434 nt
Filed under: uncultured Lachnospiraceae bacterium
Lineage: Bacteria; Bacillati; Bacillota; Clostridia; Lachnospirales; Lachnospiraceae
Description: bacterial SSU rRNA
Rfam family: Bacterial small subunit ribosomal RNA
Source: RNAcentral
ACGGAAGGCAGCAGUGGGGAAUAUUGCACAAUGGGCGAAAGCCUGAUGCAGCGACGCCGCGUGAGUGAAGAAGUAUCUCGGUAUGUAAAGCUCUAUCAGCAGGGAAGAAAAUGACGGUACCUGACUAAGAAGCCCCGGCUAACUACGUGCCAGCAGCCGCGGUAAUACGUAGGGGGCAAGCGUUAUCCGGAUUUACUGGGUGUAAAGGGAGCGUAGACGGUUUGGCAAGUCUGAAGUGAAAUGCGGGGGCUCAACUCCUGAACUGCUUUGGAAACUGUCGAACUAGAGCGCAGGAGAGGUAAGUGGAAUUCCUAGUGUAGCGGUGAAAUGCGUAGAUAUUAGGAGGAACACCAGUGGCGAAGGCGGCUUACUGGACUGUAACUGACGUUGAGGCUCGAAAGCGUGGGGAGCAAACAGGAUUAGAUACCCUGGUA